UUACCAAAUUGCACACUUAAC
Molecule: microRNA, 21 nt
Filed under: Hydra vulgaris (swiftwater hydra)
Lineage: Eukaryota; Metazoa; Cnidaria; Hydrozoa; Anthoathecata; Hydridae
Description: hma-miR-3003a-5p
Source: miRBase by way of RNAcentral